RNAcentral lists this ribosomal RNA (485 nucleotides) under uncultured bacterium. RNAcentral describes it as "partial 16S ribosomal RNA". It matches the Rfam family "Bacterial small subunit ribosomal RNA", at positions 29 to 523 of the family's 1533-position model. The record is from RNAcentral.
AGUGAACGCUGGCGGCGUGCUUAGCACAUGCAAGUCGAACGAGAACGGAAUAUAGCUUGCUAUAUUUGUCAGCUAAGUGGCGCACGGGUGAGUAAUGUAUAGAUAACCUGCCCUUAAGAAAGGAAUAACAGUUGGAAACGACUGCUAAUGCCCUAUAUGCCUUUAAUACAUAAGUAUGCAAGGGAAACGCUUUAGUGCUUAAGGAUGGGUCUGUAUGGUAUCAGCUUGUUGGUGAGGUAAUGGCUCACCAAGGCUAUGACGCCUAACUGGUUUGAGAAGAUUAUCAGUCACACUGGAACUGAGACACGGUCCAGACUCCUACGGGAGGCAGCAGUGGGGAAUAUUGCACAACGGACGAAAGUCUGAUGCAGCAACGCCGCGUGGAGGAUGACACAUUUCGGUGCGUAAACUCCUUUUAUAUAGGAAGAUAAUGACGGUACUAUAUGAAUAAGCACCGGCUAACUCCGUGCCAGCAGCCGCAGUAA